AGGCACGUAGCUUCAGUUGGUUAGAGCACCACCUUGACAUGGUGGGGGUCGUUGGUUCGAGUCCAAUCGCGCCUACCA
Molecule: transfer RNA, 78 nt
Filed under: Pseudomonas syringae
Lineage: Bacteria; Pseudomonadati; Pseudomonadota; Gammaproteobacteria; Pseudomonadales; Pseudomonadaceae
Description: tRNA-Val
Rfam family: tRNA
About the family: Transfer RNA (tRNA) molecules are approximately 80 nucleotides in length. Their secondary structure includes four short double-helical elements and three loops (D, anti-codon, and T loops). Further hydrogen bonds mediate the characteristic L-shaped molecular structure. tRNAs have two regions of fundamental functional importance: the anti-codon, which is responsible for specific mRNA codon recognition, and the 3' end, to which the tRNAs corresponding amino acid is attached (by aminoacyl-tRNA synthetases). tRNAs cope with the degeneracy of the genetic code in two manners: having more than one tRNA (with a specific anti-codon) for a particular amino acid; and 'wobble' base-pairing, i.e. permitting non-standard base-pairing at the 3rd anti-codon position.
Source: RNAcentral